RNAcentral lists this long non-coding RNA (2247 nucleotides) under Mustela putorius furo (domestic ferret). RNAcentral's name for it is "lncRNA (ENSMPUG00000028203.1)". The record is from RNAcentral. Lineage: Eukaryota; Metazoa; Chordata; Mammalia; Carnivora; Mustelidae.
AUGCCCCUUUGGGAUGUGUUCUCUUGGGGUGGGGGGGGAGAGGGAAGCACAGGGACCCCGGACCAGAACUGCCACCUGUGCCUCACUUUCGUCCUGGUGAGGACAGACGGAGCUGGCAGACAGGAAGAGCUUAGAACAGUCCCCAGCACGCAGAGGAAAUACUCCACAAGCCUGAGCCACUAUUAUUAUUCCUUGAUGCCAACGGUCUCAUCAGAAAGAGCCAGGAAAAUAUCCUUGGAUGACAGGAUUAUCUACUGGCUAAUUCACGAGAUACGAAGAGGAAAUCUCGACAGCGCUGAGCUGGGUCUUGAAGGACAAGACAAUUCUGCGGUCUCCGAUGCCUUCCCCCUCUUCCCCUCGGGCCUGCCAGAGGAACUGCCUCUCCCAGCGUCCACCCAGAGGCCUCGAACCUCCCUAGUGACCGUCCCCACUGACCAGUCCCUCUCGUCUCUGCCCCAACGCUGCCCGGGGUGAUGUGACCCUUGCCCCCGCCUGACCGGAAACCCUCCCUGAGCAGGGCACCCCCGUAACUGAAGCUAUCGACGCUCCUCGGGGAACUGGGAGAUUUCUCCCUGCCCCCAGCCCAAGGAAACAGAUCUCAAAACGUUGGCCACAUGAAAGGCUCAUGUGUAAAAAAAAAAAAAUUCGGUUCAACCAAUAUUUCCGCUACAUGCAAAUCACAGACCCGGGCCCUGCAGAGGGCACGCGCAGACAAGAGCGGAAGAAGCUGGUGCUUCAAAGUUCCUGAAAGCCAGUGAGGAAGUGAGGGGACCAGAGCGAGAGGAACGCUUUAGAGAAGAGCAUUCUGUGGCUCUGGCAUCACCACAACUAGGCAGAAGCAGAGCCCAGGAUUCCAGAAGGCAAGGGGGAAACGGCUUCUUCGAAUCACUGAAGAUCUCAUUAGAACAAAUCCCCUGUUUAUCCAACAUCUGUGGUGUCACUAUGUAAAUAUCCAUUAAAGUGCCAAAUCAAGUAUUAAGCACUUCUAUGCUCAAGUCAAUGUUCUAGAAUGCACAGGACUUUGCAAAAAGAAGGGGGGGGAGGACAUUAAGCAGAAUUAACUGUAAUCCAUGAAAUUGGCAAUCACGUGCACUUCUGUCUCAAAGCCCCACCUAUGAGCGCUUUUGGCUCUCUCCAGGAGGCCUGCUUUCCCAGGCACUCCGCAUGGGACACAGCGAGGAUGGCGCUACAGGGGUUAAGUAAUCACCUGUCCGAAGCGGCGGCACCAGGUCUCUGAGAUGAGCACCCACUCCUCACCGCACCCCUCCCUCAGGAGCGCAACGCCUUCCCCACCCUAAGAACUUGCACUGUGGCAAUUACUGGAGAAAGAAAAAAAGCACGUAUCAAACCGUAGGAGCAGAACAGCAAGGAGUUCUGGAAUCAGAUUAUUUCUGGGAAUCCGUCAGGAGGACGCUUUUGACUACAGAGAAGAUGAGGGAUCUCGAGGUCUGUGGCCAGGGACUCCAUUCCCCCCGAAUUUCUCAAUAGCAUCUGGCACACUGUGGGGCCUCUCUAACAUGAGCUAAUAAAAGCACAACAAUAAACAGAAGUAGCCUUCUGAACUAAAGCCAACUCUGCCUGCACGUACAUAUUAUAAAAAUCUCACGCAAGCCAACAAUUCUUAUAUUAUGCUAGUUUCAUCCCAAUAUAAUUUCAAUAGCUCUAUUGUAAAGCGAAAUUACCGGCAGGGUUCUGAUUAAAAAGAUGGCAACAUUCCGCAUUCAGACCGUGUGACAGACUUGCCCCAUAAUAUAAAUAACUUGAUUUAAAAAAAAAAAAAUCAGGGUGAUGAUCACCACUCCUACACACAAAAAAGCCGGUGAGAUACGAAGAUUAAAUGAACAACCAUCCCCAUCAGUGUCUCCGAUUUUAAAAACUGAGCCUGUGAGGCUGAGGUUGGGAAUCUGUCACUGAUCUGACUCUCUAGUCCCAGUCUCCUAGUUCCAGUGACUCAGGGCCCUGCACACAUUCCUCGACAAAGGGGACGUACCACCACACAGAGGUGCUGUUUCUUAGAAUAUGCUUCCAGAAGCCUGCGAAGGCUUUAUUCCAGAGUCGCAAACCCCAGGACAACCUGCAGUGGGGGCGUCCGAGCCUCCAGAGGUCACCAGGUCAUCACGAAAGGAGGAUUCUGAUCUGGGAGCCUGGCUGGGAGCAGCGACCCCUCACACACCCCUGGGCCAGGUCCUCCUGGCACCCACUCCCCACCGCACCAUCGGCGCGGCCAUUGGCGGCUGCCGUCCUAAG